RNAcentral lists this ribosomal RNA (253 nucleotides) under uncultured bacterium. Its description in RNAcentral is "partial 16S ribosomal RNA". It matches the Rfam family "Bacterial small subunit ribosomal RNA", at positions 524 to 776 of the family's 1533-position model. The record is from RNAcentral.
UACGGAGGGUGCAAGCGUUAUCCGGAUUCACUGGGUUUAAAGGGUGCGUAGGUGGGCAGGUAAGUCAGUGGUGAAAUCUCCGGGCUUAACCCGGAAACUGCCAUUGAUACUAUCUGUCUUGAAUACCGUGGAGGUGAGCGGAAUAUGUCAUGUAGCGGUGAAAUGCUUAGAUAUGACAUAGAACACCAAUUGCGAAGGCAGCUCACUACACGAAUAUUGACACUGAGGCACGAAAGCCAGGGGAGCAAACGGG